RNAcentral lists this transfer RNA (77 nucleotides) under Campylobacter jejuni. Its description in RNAcentral is "tRNA-Arg". It matches the Rfam family "tRNA". From Rfam's summary of the family: Transfer RNA (tRNA) molecules are approximately 80 nucleotides in length. Their secondary structure includes four short double-helical elements and three loops (D, anti-codon, and T loops). Lineage: Bacteria; Pseudomonadati; Campylobacterota; Epsilonproteobacteria; Campylobacterales; Campylobacteraceae. The record is from RNAcentral.
GCGUUCAUAGCUCAGCUGGAUAGAGCAUUUGAUUGCGGUUCAAAAGGCCAGAGGUUCGAAUCCUCUUGAGCGCACCA